This 253-nucleotide ribosomal RNA is filed under the name uncultured bacterium. Its description in RNAcentral is "partial 16S ribosomal RNA". It matches the Rfam family "Bacterial small subunit ribosomal RNA", at positions 524 to 776 of the family's 1533-position model. The record is from RNAcentral.
UACGUAGGGUGCAAGCGUUGUCCGGAAUUAUUGGGCGUAAAGAGCUCGUAGGCGGCCUGUCACGUCGACUGUGAAAACCCAGGGCUCAACCCUGGGCCUGCAGUCGAUACGGGCAGGCUAGAGUGUGGUAGGGGAGACUGGAACUCCUGGUGUAGCGGUGAAAUGCGUAGAUAUCAGGAGGAACACCGGUGGCGAAGGCGGGUCUCUGGGCCGAUACUGACGCUGAGGAGCGAAAGCGUGGGGAGCGAACAGG